RNAcentral lists this ribosomal RNA (484 nucleotides) under uncultured bacterium. RNAcentral's name for it is "bacterial SSU rRNA". It matches the Rfam family "Bacterial small subunit ribosomal RNA", at positions 30 to 507 of the family's 1533-position model. The record is from RNAcentral.
AUUGAACGCUGGCGGCAGGCCUAACACAUGCAAGUCGAGCGGAUGAAGGGAGCUUGCUCCUGGAAUCAGCGGCGGACGGGUGAGUAAUGCCUAGGAAUCUGCCUGGUAGUGGGGGAUAACGUCCGGAAACGGCGCUAAUACCGCAUACGUCCUGAGGGAGAAAGUGGGGGGAUCUUCGGACCUCACGCUAUCAGAUGAGCCUAGGUCGGAUUAGCUAGUUGGUGGGGUAAAGGCCUACCAAGGCGACGAUCCGUAACUGGUCUGAGAGGACGAUCAGUCACACUGGAACUGAGACACGGUCCAGACUCCUACGGGAGGCAGCAGUGGGGAAUAUUGGACAAUGGGCGAAAGCCUGAUCCAGCCAUGCCGCGUGUGUGAAGAAGGUCUUCGGAUUGUAAAGCACUUUAAGUUGGGAGGAAGGGCAGUAAGUUAAUACCUUGCUGUUUUGACGUUACCAACAGAAUAAGCACCGGCUAACCUCGUG